Molecule: ribosomal RNA, 468 nt
Filed under: uncultured bacterium
Lineage: Bacteria
Description: partial 16S ribosomal RNA
Rfam family: Bacterial small subunit ribosomal RNA
Source: RNAcentral
GACGAACGCUGGCGGCGGGCUUAACACAUGCAAGUCGAACGGAAAGGCCCUGCUUUUGUGGGGUGCUCGAGUGGCGAACGGGUGAGUAACACGAGAGUAACCUGCCCUUCAUUUUGGUAUAACUUCAGGAAACUGGAGCUAAUACCAGAUAGCAUCUCCUCUUGCAUUGUGAGGGUUGGAAAGUUGCUGCUGUUGCGGUUGGACUCGCGGCUUAUCAGCUUGUUGGUUGGGUAGUGGCUUACCCAGGCUGUGAAGGGUCGCCGGCCUGAGAGGGUGAACGGCGACAAUGGGACUGAGAUACGGAGCAGACUCGUAUGGGAGGCAGCAGUGGGGAAUAUUGCACAGUGGGCCGAAGUGUGAUGCAGAAACGCCGGGUGCGGGAUGACGGCUUUCGGGUUGUAAAAAGCUUUCGCCUGUGACGAAGCGUUAGUGACGGUAAUGGGUAAAGAAGCACCGGCUAACUACGUG